Molecule: transfer RNA, 73 nt
Filed under: Trichonephila inaurata madagascariensis
Lineage: Eukaryota; Metazoa; Arthropoda; Arachnida; Araneae; Nephilidae
Rfam family: tRNA
About the family: Transfer RNA (tRNA) molecules are approximately 80 nucleotides in length. Their secondary structure includes four short double-helical elements and three loops (D, anti-codon, and T loops).
Source: Rfam by way of RNAcentral
ACCCAGCUAGUAUGGUGGAUAUGACCUUCGGCUUGUAACCGAAUGAGCUCGGGUUCGAAUCCCGAGUAAGGCA